This 317-nucleotide ribosomal RNA is filed under the name uncultured bacterium. RNAcentral describes it as "bacterial SSU rRNA". It matches the Rfam family "Bacterial small subunit ribosomal RNA", at positions 28 to 346 of the family's 1533-position model. The record is from RNAcentral.
GACGAACGCUGGCGGCGUGCUUAACACAUGCAAGUCGAGCGGUAAGGCCCUUCGGGUACGACGAGCGGCGAACGGGUGAGUAACACGUGGGUGACCUGCCUCUAGCUCUGGGAUAAGCCUGGGAAACUAGGGUCGUAAUACCGGAUAUGACUCCACGGCGCAUGUUGUGGGGUGGAAAGCCUUGUGUGGCUAGAGAUGGGCCCGCGGCCUAUCAGCUUGUUGGUGGGGUGAUGGCCUACCAAGGCGACGACGGGUAGCCGGCCUGAGAGGGCGACCGGCCACACUGGGACUGAGACACGGCCCAGGCUCCUACGGGA